Prinia subflava (tawny-flanked prinia) is the source of this 3363-nucleotide long non-coding RNA. RefSeq lists it as uncharacterized. The record is from RefSeq and is a predicted model, not a curated record. Lineage: Eukaryota; Metazoa; Chordata; Aves; Passeriformes; Cisticolidae. The transcript has 4 exons.
GGGAAGACGUUGAAGAAAGAGAUGCUGAAGGAAAACCUGGAGGAAGAGGACCUGGAGGAGGUAGAGGAGCCCUGAGGAAGAAGGAAUGAUCAGAGAAACAUAAAGAAGAACAAACCAAGGAAUAGUUACUAUUAAAGUUUUCUUCUCAUGCUGAUGGUGGCAAUGUGUUUCUGUGGAGGAAGGAUUUUAUGAACACUUGGGCAUUAUCUGUGCUGCAUCCUUUACAGAUGGCUCAAACCCCUGGACACAAGAUUAUUCUGAGGUAUUUGAAGAGUGAGACAAGCCCAAUGAAGACAACUACAAGAAUGGAAUAUGUUACACUCAAUGACUUCAUUCUUGUGACAGAUGCUGUUCCCAUCUCAGAAACCCACAUCAUCAGUUGGCCAAGGAAAAAUGCACUCUCAGCAGAUGAGAUUAUUUGCAGAAUCUGCAGCUCUCCUUCUGGAUGCUGCUCACCAAGUGAAAAGGUGGAGAAGCACCCACAAAGCAGCUGUGGAAUAAAGAACCCAUUUCAUCCUUUAGAACUCUCCCGCUGUUUUAGUGGAAAGCCCAAUGGAUGGAUGGAUAAACCUUGCAGAAACUAAAAUCAGCUCUUGGCUAGGUGAGAAGGAGAUUUUAACUACAGAGUCCCAGGAGAAAUUUUUGAGUCAGCUUCUCUUGGCCUUGUAACAAUAGCAUGGAGGGUUGAACCUCUCAUCCUGCAAUUUUAACUCUGUGGCUUGGUUUAAGACAAUUUAAGAGGUGGACGCUCUAAGAUUAGUUAACCCCCCACUUAGUUUCAAGCAAUCUCUUUCCAUCAAUAAGGAGAAAUGAAAUAUGAGUAGAUAAGGGUGAAAAAAUAACAGUUUGCUAAGAAGGGAAACAGCAACAGGCAAAAAAAUUAUCAAUGAAUAAUCAGUAGAUACAAAAUUGCUAAAUCUCAUGGACAAUUUGAGAUCUUCAGGGACACAUCAACCCUCUCAGCCUUUCUUCAUGGGAUGAAACUGACUUUUGGCCUUGGAAAUGCCCGGGGGUUCUGGACUUUGAUUGUGGCAAAAUCAUGAAAUAAAAGUUAGCAUUUGUUUGAUAGACUGGUGUGUCAGUCCAGCCUUUUAAUGAUCAACUUGCAAAAAACAGUCAAACCAGCUGGUCUGGAAGAGGAAAGUUCUAAAAAUCUGUAAGAAGAGACCUUUUACAUAAACAUAUUUUUAAAGAAGUUUUAUGACAUAAAACUUGAAGAUGAUCUGAAAUAGCUGGAAACAAAUGAAAGAGAAGGCUGCUGUAAGGGGAGAGAGAGUUUCUGAACCUGCCCAGUGUGAAUUCCUUUCCUGUUGACUCAUGUUUGAUCUGUUCCUCUUUCCAUCUUUUUCCUUUCCUUUCCUUAUUUUAGAUAUACUGUUCCAAAAAUGGGUAAAUUUGCUUUUCUUUAUUCCCAGUCAAUGGCAGUUCAUGAUAACUUAGAGAAGUAUGUUAGUAGUCAGUGCUGCAGUUUGCUUUUCUUUUUCUCUUAAUAUUUGGAGUUAAAUCUUUACGAAAACUGUGCUUAGACUGCAACUUUUCAGAAGUUUGUGACUAUACUGAUUGAUGCUUCCUUGGAAUAUGUAACAGCAAAGCCAAAUAAUCACAAAGAGCAUGUGCUGGGUAUUUCCACCCUGGGAAUUUAAAUUUUUUUGACUUCAUUUAUGAUGCUGCAGUGUAACCACCUGGUGGAGUGAGUGAUUGCAAGGCCUGAUUAACAGUACAGACUUUUAGACUAGAAUUUGUUACUUCUCUAUCUUGUAUGCUGUUCUGUGGUAGAAAUACUUCACAGCUUUUGCCAACUGUGUUUUUUGAAAAAAUCACAGCUUGCUAGAGCCUUGAUUCUGCUCUUAGUGGAGGAUGCCCCAGGUCUGUUUAUAUGUGGCAGGUCCAAUAAAAAUAUGUUUUCUCUAAUGAGGGCUGGAUAUAUCUGGACUCUUCUGUUUGUUAAAACUCUAGAAGCCAAGUAAAUGUAGUACUUUUGUAGCAAAACGUGUGAAAUCACAUGGUGGCUCUUUCAUAGCUUGGCUUGGAAAAAAUAACCCCUGUGGAUGUAGAUGUCAAAGUUCUCUUCCAAGGUUUGGGGGAUUAAACGAGAGGUGAGGAAUUGUCUUCAUCUUCCCUCUCUUUCAAAAAUAGAUUUUUUAAAUGUGGCACACAAACUUCUUGUGCCAGUAAAUCUGACAUGCUGGGUCUCAGGGAGAGGGAUACUUUGUUUCAAGCAGCGUUUCAUUUUAAAAAAUGUUAAUUUCUUGUAUACAGAAAACAAAGCUGUCUGAAAGAAAUGUACUGUUGAUCCAAUUCUAGUACUUUCAGGUUUUUAGUGCCUGCUGAAUUGUAGUAGUGCCUCAGAAGCAAAAUAAGGGAUUUUUUUUCCCUGCAGAUUUUAAAGAAGUUGUGACUUUUCUCAGUUUUACAAGAGCUUCUCAGGAGUCCCAGCAUUAACUCUUUUAUGUUGUCAUGCAUUCAAACCGGAAAUCCCCUUUGUUCCCUAUGCCAAUUAUCUUUUUAGGGUUGAAGAGUUGCUACACUUCAUGUAUACCACAAGCUCUUGUUUCAUGGGAAUAUUGUUAGCUUUGUUAUGCUCAGUCUGUGCAAAAACUUCUAUUCAGUGUUUCUGAGUUUUAUUAUCUUUUGAUUGGAUGACUGGAUUUUGCGGUAGCAUAGCUGAUAUUAAUGCAUUUAAACCACAUAAUCUGGAGGAUAUUAUAUUCCAGAAGAUGUUUGAGUAAGCUGAGAAGUGAGGCUGAUGUUAUACUCUUCUGUUUCAUUGCCGGUUCAGUAGUAAUUAUUUACACUGAGGAAUGGAGAAAUGGAGCACAAAGUUCUGCCCUGGGCUUUUGCUGUAAAUUUGAGGGUGAGCAAAAGAACUACUGUUUCUUUUUCAUGGAGAGCAAUGCAGGAGAUGUGACAAAAUGUGCCAGAGGAAUAGGUAUGGCAAGAUCCUACCUGUGAGAAAACCAGCAGGAAUCAGGGUAGGAUGUUCCCCAGGGGGCCAAUCAGUGCAGCUCUGCUGACUCCCAAAAGCACAAGCCAGUUCAGGAAGCAUUCUCAUAUUGGACUGCCCUAAAUAGCUACAAUAUCAUCAAAAGAAGCAGAACCUACCAGAGCCAGGAUCUGCAAAUGUCACUGAGCAGCUGCUCUCUUCGCUCUUCUGUGAAGCACCUGGCAGUGCCCCUGGGAUGCUUGUCUGGGUGUAACCCUGCUGACAGAAUAUGGCAGCUGCUAAUAUCCUUAUUCUGUUGGCUUUGAUCUGUCUUCAGAAAGUACAGCUUCUUCAAAACAGCUGAAGGAAGCAGAAGCCAUCAGUCCUCUUGAAAUUAUUUUUGGGAAAAUCUAUACAUUUGGAUGUUGCUUGUGGAAAUA